AGGCGGUUGCUCCAGGCGGCCGCCGCCCUCCCCCGGCCCAAUGGCUCGGCUGCCGCGUCAGUAAUGUGAAGCAGAGCUCGGGCUUGUCCGGCCCCCGGCCCGCAGCCCAUUACACCAUCCGCCGAGGCAGCCGCUGCGGCCCGAGCAGCCUGAGAGGGCGGGAGGCGGCUCGGCGGGGCGGGGCGAGGCGAGCAGCGCGGCCGGAUUCAUUCCUGUGGGGCGCGGGGCAUGGAGGAGCUGUGCGGCCGCAGGCGGAGCAGGGCGGCUGGGGCGGCGGCAGGGACAACGGUUUCCAUUUGAAGGGGGGCGGCCCGAGCCCGAGCGGCUGCCGGCGGCGGGAGCACUGACCCCGGGCAGUUUGCAGCCCUACUUGUCAGAUGUUGAAAUGCAGUAGGACGGAACAUCCUCCCCGUGGCUUUAUAUCUGUUCUGGGGUGCAGUGACUGACAUUGAACUUGGGUCUGGUAGAGUUAAGCUGGAGCGUCGCCUUGUAGGAUCAAUAAUACAGCGCAGCCUGUGACAGGACAUCGAUGGAUCUAAAGACAGCAGUGUUCAACGCAGCGCGGGAUGGCAAACUCCGGCUUCUCACCAAAUUGUUGGCAAGCAAAUCCAAAGAGGAGGUUUCCUCCUUGAUCUCCGAGAAGACCAACGGGGCCACGCCACUCUUGAUGGCUGCCAGGUAUGGGCACCUGGACAUGGUGGAGUUCCUCCUGGAGCAGUGCAGUGCCUCCAUAGAGGUCGGGGGCUCCGUCAACUUCGACGGCGAGACCAUCGAGGGGGCGCCGCCUCUGUGGGCCGCGUCCGCAGCAGGACAUCUGAAGGUGGUACAGUCUUUGUUAAAUCAUGGGGCAUCUGUCAACAACACGACUUUGACCAACUCGACUCCUCUUCGCGCCGCGUGUUUUGAUGGUCAUUUGGAAAUAGUGAAGUACCUCGUAGAGCACAAAGCUGAUUUGGAAGUGUCAAACCGGCACGGGCACACGUGCUUGAUGAUUUCCUGUUACAAAGGACAUAAGGAGAUUGCUCAGUAUUUACUUGAAAAGGGGGCAGAUGUCAAUAGAAAAAGUGUUAAAGGUAAUACUGCAUUGCAUGAUUGUGCAGAGUCUGGAAGUUUGGACAUCAUGAAGAUGCUUCUUAUGUAUUGUGCCAGGAUGGAAAAGGAUGGCUAUGGAAUGACUCCUCUUCUCUCAGCAAGUGUGACUGGCCACACAAAUAUUGUGGAUUUUCUGACACACCAUGCACAGACCAGCAAGACAGAACGUAUCAAUGCACUAGAGCUUCUGGGAGCUACAUUUGUAGACAAAAAAAGAGAUCUACUUGGGGCUUUGAAAUACUGGAAAAAGGCAAUGAACAUGAGAUACAGUGACAGGACUAAUAUAAUUAGCAAACCAGUGCCACAGACACUAAUAAUGGCUUAUGAUUAUGCCAAGGAGGUAAACAGUGCAGAAGAGCUGGAAGGUCUUAUUGCUGACCCUGAUGAGAUGAGAAUGCAAGCACUGUUGAUUAGAGAACGUAUUCUCGGUCCUUCUCAUCCUGAUACCUCUUACUAUAUCAGAUACAGAGGCGCUGUCUAUGCAGACUCUGGAAAUUUUAAACGCUGUAUCAACCUGUGGAAGUAUGCUUUGGAUAUGCAGCAGAACAAUUUGGACCCUUUGAGCCCAAUGACUGCCAGUAGCUUACUGUCUUUUGCAGAACUGUUCUCCUUUAUGCUCCAGGAUAGGGCUAAAGGUUUACUGGGUACUACUGUUACAUUUGAUGAUUUGAUGGGCAUACUGUGCAAAAGUGUCCUUGAAAUUGAGCGAGCUAUCAAACAAACUCAGUGUCCAGCAGACCCAUUGCAGUUAAAUAAGGCUCUUUCCAUCAUUUUACACUUAAUUUGCUUAUUAGAAAAAGUUCCUUGUACUCUAGAACAGGACCAUUUCAAGAAGCAGACUAUCUACAGAUUUCUAAAGCUGCAUCCACGGGGGAAGAAUAACUUCAGCCCUCUUCAUCUGGCUGUGGACAAGAAUACUACAUGUGUGGGGCGGUACCCUGUUUGUAAAUUUCCAUCUCUGCAAGUUACCGCGAUUCUCAUAGAAUGCGGUGCUGAUGUGAAUGUCAGAGACUCUGAUGACAACAGUCCCCUACAUAUUGCUGCUCUGAACAACCAUCCAGACAUCAUGAAUCUCCUUAUUAAAUCAGGUGCACAUUUUGAUGCUACAAACUUGCACAAACAAACUGCUAGUGACUUGCUGGACGAGAAGGAAAUAGCUAAAAAUUUGAUCCAGCCCAUAAAUCAUACCACAUUGCAGUGUCUUGCUGCUCGUGUCAUCGUGAAUCAUAGAAUAUACUAUAAAGGGCAUAUCCCAGAAAAGCUAGAGACCUUUGUUUCACUUCAUAGAUGAUAAUCUGACUGUAUUUUAACACUGUUAAAGCACGAAUUGGUAACAGUUGUUUCAUAAAUGAGCACUGUUGUGAUAACACCAGCAUUCAUUUAGCUUGAUACAUUGUGCUCUCAUUGGCUAACACAUUUUAAGCAUCAAAUUUACAGGGUUGGUUUCCCAGUAUUUAAUAUAAAUAUACCACAUAAUAUAUUGUUUGUGAAUUAUUGAGAAAUGUAAUGUCAUACCCAAAUUUCUAAAAAUGUCUGCCAAAGGCUUAUUCAUUCUGGUUUUGUUUGCUGUUGAGUGUUUGGGACAGAGUUAACUUUUUCAGUGGUGUCUUUAUACUUGCUAGUUUGUGAAUUUUAUACAAAUUGAAAGUCCUUUUUUCCUGCUUCUUCCUUCUCCAAGCUUCGCCCCUGUUUCUACUUUUUUCCCUGACCAUUUCUACCACAGUUUUUCCCCUUAUUGACCCAUACUAGGUCAUACAAAUUUUAUGAACUUGUUACCAUUUGCAGUUACCAUAAGUGCUUUAUCUUCUCUAUGCACCGGCUUAAACUUGACUGUUGUAUGUUAGCAUAAUUUCUAUGCAGCAGUUGGUCAACUUCAACUAAAAACACUGUUUUCUUAAGUUUGUUACAAAGUUCAUUUUAUGAAAGUACUCUUGUAGCAUGAGAAGUUUUAGAGCUGCAGGUUAGAGCUCAAGUUUUUUUUGGUUUUGGCUUUUCUUCACAUCCGAGGUUUCUUUCUCUAAUCCACAGAAAUUUUUGUGUGCUAAAUUUGGGAAACUAUUACAACUCAUUAACCCAGUUGAAAUUUAGGUCUGUCAUCUUAAUAUAUCAUGCAAAAGGAAGACUCUUUCUAAAGUGACCCGCCUUUCAUGCUGCUCCAGCGUUGUCCUGCUUGUGCUGAUGGUGUGACUAGGUGUAGAGAAUUUGCUUCAAUUUAACCUUAAAGUAUCACACAGCUUAACAAGUCACAUUGAAAUAUUCAGUCAUUGAACUGCAAAUCACUUUUACUUACAAAAAGAGCUAAAGCAUGUCAGUGGCAUGAUGCUUGCCAAGCCAGAUCUAGGCAUCUAGGAUAAUUAAGGCAUUUUAGAACUCAAAUUAUGCUGUAGUAUCAAAGGUCAGUAACAGUGUUUUUUUUUCUUCAAGUUUAUGUAUACCUUUUAAAGAUAACUUGCAUGAAUUACUUUGGUCUCAAUUAUUUGUCACCCCAAUUAAACACAAAAGGUUGCACAGUGCUUUCUGUUCCCUCACUGAAAGUUAGCUUUUCUUUCUUCCCUCCUCCUUCCCUCUACAGAUGUGCUAAUGCCACAGAAAGGGCUCUUUUAACUUAAGAAAAGAUUACUGAAAAGUACUAAAAAAGAUUCAGUGUUUGAGAUGAAGUUUCAGAAGUAUAUGUAGUAAUAUGUAUUGCAAUGAAGCCUGGGCACUGAGGAAGAUGGUGAAGAGGAGGAGACCACAGUCUGUGAUAUGUGAUGUAGCUACAAGAUACGGAGUGCUGAGGGCUGAGGAACUGGAAGAGAGGAACAGAUCUGUGUCUUUAGAGCCUCUGGGAGGGGCCAACCCUGGCUGCACUUGGAUUUCAACCUCUACAACUGUGAGAGAAUCAUUUUUAUUUUUAUUUAUUUAUUUUUGGUGGUCCUGGGGCUUGAACUUAGGGUCUCAGCUUGCUAGGCAGGUGCUCUACCACUUGAGCCACACCCCCAACCCUUUUUGGCUAUAUUUAGUUUUUGGAUAGGGUUUCCUGGUUUUGCCUGGGGCCAUGCCUCUCAUAUAUCUGGGAUUAUAGUUGCAUGCAUCCACACCCAGCUUAUUUGUUGAGAUGGGAGUCUCACUCACUUUUUGCUGGGGCUGUCCUUCAACCUCCAUCCUCCUGAUCACCUCCUAAGUAGCUGAAUUGUAAGUAUGAGCUCCCAGCUCCUUAAGUUUUAAGUUACCAAACCUGUGGUAAUUUGUUAUGGGAUCCUCAGGAAACAAAAGUAACAUAUAUUGGGCUUAUUUUUAAAUGAAUGAUCCAAUAAAUCUCAAUUUAUCAUUUAAAAAAUUUAAUUUAAAAACUUUUCAGUUUUUGAGAUUUUGAUACCAAGAAAUAUGGGAAUCACUGCUUUAAAAAAAACUCAGGUGCAGGCUUAUCAGGAUGCAAAUACAGAAAUACUUAUGACUCAAAGCCAUAUAGUAGUCCCAGCUGGAAGUACCCCAAAUUUGAGUGUACUCACAAAACCUGACAGCACAGCAAUGAUAAUGAACAGAUUAUAACUAUGUAGGACCACAUAGGGAAACCUUACAAACAUUCAACUAAAAGAAGCCAGAUGGGAAAGUAAUCAUAGUGCCUGACAACAGGCACACUAUGUAAUCCCAUUUGACCCACCGCAUGGUGAAGCUAUUACCAAAAAAAAAAAAAAGGAACCAACCCCAGCAACACCUUUAUUUUGAACUUGUGGCUUUCCAGGACAGAAUAAAUUUCUGUUCUUUAAGCUGUCAAAUUUGAAGUAUUUGUUAUGAUCAUACUGGGAAAAUGAUGCAUCUUAACAGCUAUACUUAGCGCAGCUUAGAGUGGCCUAACUCUUGUCACACAAAUCCAAGGCGUUUGUGAAUUUGCUUUUAAACCUGUCCCCACCCCCAUGGACUGCACUCAAAUGUUUUGCUGGUAGCACUACUCAUUACUUGUACCCAAUUCUGUGAAAAAUUUUAUUUUUUCUAAAGUAUUUCCUUUAAUAUUCUUCUUCGGGAGGCAGGGGAAAGAGGGUAGUGUGUGUGUUAAACUACGUGACACUGACACUUUUUUUCCUAAGGGUUUGGAAGAUAAUUCUUUUUUUUUUGAGGUACUAGGGAUUGAGCGCCUCCAGCUCUACCACUUGAACCAUGCCCACCCCUUGUCUUUGAGCCUGUAGUGCUGCUGUGUUCUGUCUUUCUUCGUUCCAGCAUGGAACACAAAGUGGCCUGAAGCAACCUCUACUGAGGCCACAAUUUGGGACUGAGAACUGUUGGAGCCACUGAGCCUGUCUCCAUUCUGUAGUCACAGACUGUCAGCCCAGCUCAAGAGAAACUGCAGCAGAAAAAGUGAUGAAGAGUAUCCCUCAGUUCCCAGGCCGCCAAUCAAUUCACUCAUCUAUGGCUUCUGAGAUAUUUAAAUUGCCAACACUUUAAUGGAAGACUGGAGACCUGGGACAUAUGGUAGCCACGUGAUGCGGGAAAGCACACAGGUCCCGCUGACUUGCUCCAGACAGCUGUGCCCUGGGGUGCUGGUGAGAAUGCAAUCCUGCAUGUGGCUGAGCCAGCUCAAACUCUGCUCCUGGGUACAAUUAGAAUGGAAUACCAAAAAGGAAUUUUAGACAAAGACAGAAUUGAAAUAUUGACAAUGUUAAAAACACUGGAGACAAGUCAGCAGAACAAGAGGACAGAAGAACAGCAUGGCUACCUUCAGUAAUGGAGAGUUCAUCUGGAAUUUCAAAUCCUGGCCUUUCUUAUUCAGUAUGCCACCUCAUCUCCUGUAGGAUGAGCUCACGGAAAAGCUGGGGCUCUUCCUCUCCACCAGCGUUCCUGUACAGGAGCAAGACUCCUUGCCAUUCUCUGUGCAGGUCCCUGUUUGGGCACCACCUCUCUUGUGCAUCUCGCAUGAGCUCAUCCUAGUAAUCUAACUGGAGGCGAUGGGAGAUGCAGAAAGAACAAAAGACAGAAGACAGCACAUGCCCAGAGCUGGGGCCAGGUCCAAUCCAGCAAUGUGCACUUCAUCUGCUGUGCUGAAGGGUCAAGGCCAUGCAACCUUGUUCGGGGAGAGAGGCCAAGUCUACAGCAAACAAGGAGAUACUUCCCAAAGUGUGAGCCCCCCAGAGAAGAGCUGGCAGCUGAAGCAGGUAAAGUAGGAGUGGCAGAAACAAGGAUGACCUUGCACCUUCUAAAAGGAAUGGCUUCUACUCAACCCCAUGCAAGCACUGCCACCAGAGUGGAAAUUGUGUGUUAUCUGGUAAUGUGAUUACCUAAGGGAUGUCAAAACUCAAAUCACUAUGGGAAGACCUAUAGGAAGGAUUUGGCAGAAGGUAUAGAUUUUAGAAGUGCAAUCUAUAAUGAAGUGUAGGACAUAGUGGGUUUGAAGCCAUGUAAAAUAUGCAUAAGACCUCCUUGAUACUCCGGGUCCUCUGUGUAGCGAAAAAAAACUGUAUCUCAUGGGUGCAAGCCUCUCUGAAGAAAAUAAAUGAUGCUAAUUUUGGUUAAUCAAGAGGCAUUGGCUUGUAUUUAAUCACAAUGUUUCCUUAUUUUAAUUCCUAGAAAAAAAAAGGGGGUGGCUGAAGAGGGUUCAAACUUUUCAUUGAUUUCACUUUUAUCAUGCUUUUGAAUCCUAUCAGAUAUAUUUUUAGAAGCCUGUAAAUGAAUGGAGCUUGGUGAAUACAAGGUAACUUCCUGAAACUUCAACCCUGGUUAUUUCUGUCUUGCUGUUUUCAAAGGCAUCCGAGCCCACAAAGCAAAGGCAAAAGGGAACAAAUAACAGAGGUGAAAAGCCAGUCCCUGUACGUAGGAGGUAGGCUUUCAUGGAACAUGUGAUUAUGUGGCAGGAGGGAUGGAUGUGAAUCAUGAAAUUGUACAGCAGUUUUUUUCCCUAGGAGAAACGGUUCAAUGAAACAGACCAACCUGUCAUCAAAAGUGACAUAAAUGCUGCAGGACUCACCAUCCCUCUUUUCUACGUAGCCAUUGGCACCAGCAUGCAGUCCAGAAAAGUGGGAAGCAGGAGGAGGGGCAGGUCCUCCCACCAAUGCACUGGACCUACUCAUCUGGUCUGGAAAGGAGAUGGGUCUGCUGUUUGUGGAUGAACAGCAAGGAGCAGGGGGCAGCUCUGAGUCUCUCUCCAACUGAGGCAUGGUGGGUUUUAAUAAGACCUGCUGGCUUUCUUAUAGCGGGAAGGGAAUUUGGGUCCCCAGAAAUGACCAACAUCCUCUGAAUCACCACAGGGGAGAGGUGACAAGGGAUAAUGGCCUUUGCUAGAGCAGGUGCCAAGAGUCCAGCUUCACUGGGACGGAGCAUCAAUCUCUCCACUAAGACUUCUCAAAGUCUAUACCAUGGUCGCUCAAGAAAAUUCCCGGGGAAAAGCUGAGCAUGGCUCAGCUCUCCAUUUUCUCAGACGUUUGAUCCCAGUUGAAAAAGGAAAUCUCAUUGAUUUGGAGUUAGUCCUCACAUCUACUUCAAGAAAGAUGUCGCAGGAUAUUUAAAGGUGUCAUGCGUUAGGUACGAAGCACUAUGGGCAUUUUCUAAUCUUUGCAUCAGGCAUAAUGAAGAAGGAAACAGCAGGAUCUUACACAGAGAAGGAAGAGCCACCUUUAUUUUCCACAUUUGAUUUACAGCUUUGCCUUUCUACACCCACGUACCUCCUGAGCUUUAAGAAAACAACUGAAAAUCUCAGUCUUCAAAGGAGAUUUGAAGUCCAAGCAACAGUCUUAGCUGAAGGAGAAAGAGCUUUGCACAGGGAGUCAGGAAACUUGGGGUCUAGAUUCCUUCAGCCACUGACUGACCAGUCUGGGAACUUUGUGUUCCUCACUCUCUGCUAUGAUUUGCUCUCUGAUGCAAACAGAAGCUGGCCUUAACUCCUGACUCCUUCCUGGUUCUACUGCUGCUUUAAAACUUUUCCUUGGGAAUCCGAGAAGGCCUUAUAUAACUCCCUAGGCUGAGUCCAUGUAGGGUAAGCACAGGAGCUGCAGCUGUGCUCCCCGUGCUUUCCCUGUUGAACUAGUCAAGUGGGAACAGUGUGUUCAGACAGAGUGGGAGAACUCAUAGAAUUCAUCAUCCUGAGGUUACAGGCCUCAGACCAGGGCUGCCAUCCAGCCUGGGACUUAACAGAGAAAACAACCCUGGGUGUGAUCAAAAGGCAUCCUGAGGGAGACCUAAACCCAAGAGAUCCCAGCUCUGUCUCUGCUAGGAACCCUUACAGACCUUGGGCCAAUCCCAUACCUCUCUGGGACAUUGUUCCCAUAUAUGUAUGAAGUUAGGGUAAUAAAGUCAUCCCUGCCUCUCCACAUUUGUGUGUGUAUGUGUGUGUGUGUGUGUGUGUGUGUGUGUGGAAUAGGGGGACUUGAAUCCAGGGCUUGCUAACUUUGUUUGCCCCAGCUGGCCUUGAACUCAGAAUUUUCCCACCUCCCAAGUAGCUGAGAUUACAAGCGUGCACCACUACCCUGCCCUGCUCUCCCUGUUAUUUUGAUAAGGUCGAAAAUACAUAUAGAAGUAAAAAAUUUUGACACAGAGACAGAAGGAUGUUGAUCAGCUUUGAAAGUUGUUCUGCCCUGUUCAGGGCGUGGGAGGAAGCAGGGACUGGUGAAUUUCAGCACGGGGUGAGGGCAGAGAGG
Castor canadensis (American beaver) is the source of this 8696-nucleotide non-coding RNA. The record is from RefSeq and is a predicted model, not a curated record. NCBI's taxonomy places the organism in Eukaryota, Metazoa, Chordata, Mammalia, Rodentia, Castoridae.